ACGGGUGAGUAAUAUAUCGGAACGUACCCAGGAGUGGGGGAUAACGUAGCGAAAGUUACGCUAAUACCGCAUACGAUCCACGGAUGAAAUGCAGGGGACCUUCGGGCCUUGCGCUCCUGGAGCGGCCGAUAUCUGAUUAGCUAGUAGGUAGGGUAAAGGCCUACCUAGGCGACGAUCAGUAGCUGGUCUGAGAGGACGACCAGCCACACUGGAACUGAGACACGGUCCAGACUCCUACGGGAGGCAGCAGUGGGGGAAUUUUGGACAAUUGGGCGCAAGCCUGAUCCAGCAAUGCCGCGUGAGUGAAGAAGGCCUUCGGGUUGUAAAGCUCUUUUUGUCAGGGAACGAAAAGGCCGUGGCUAAUAUCCAUGGUUCAUGACCGGUACCUGAAGAAUAAGCACCGGCUAACUACGUGCCAGCCGCCGCGG
RNAcentral lists this ribosomal RNA (428 nucleotides) under uncultured bacterium. RNAcentral describes it as "bacterial SSU rRNA". It matches the Rfam family "Bacterial small subunit ribosomal RNA", at positions 102 to 520 of the family's 1533-position model. The record is from RNAcentral.